Molecule: unclassified non-coding RNA, 342 nt
Filed under: soil metagenome
Description: partial contains 5.8S ribosomal RNA, internal transcribed spacer 2, and large subunit ribosomal RNA
Rfam family: 5.8S ribosomal RNA (bases 1-120)
Source: RNAcentral
GAUGAAGAACGCAGCGAAAUGCGAUAAGUAAUGUGAAUUGCAGAAUUCAGUGAAUCAUCGAAUCUUUGAACUCACAUUGCGCCCGCUAGUAUUCUGGCGGGCAUGCCUGUCCGAGCGUCAUUUCAACCCUCAAGCCCCCGGGCUUGGUGUUGGGGAUCGGCGAGCCUCCGCGCCCGCCGUCCCCUAAAUCUAGUGGCGGUCUCGCUGUAGCUUCCUCUGCGUAGUAGCACACCUCGCACUGGGAAACAGCGCGGCCACGCCGUUAAACCCCCAACUUCUGAACGUUUGACCUCGGAUCAGGUAGGAAUACCCGCUGAACUUAAGCAUAUCAAUAAGCGAGGA